ACUCAUAAGCCAGGACUUCCCAAGAGUGUCCCAUGGAACCUGAGUUCUAAGGACGGUACAUGAAAAAAAUCAACAUGGGUUCCAUGAUCAAAGAAGUUUGGGAAAUGGGCUAAAUGAAAGGACUUCCAAGGCCUUUUAUCUGCUAAUGAGAAAGGUGGUUUCCAAAAGGAAAAGCUUUGGGAGAUAGAAGUCCUCGUUUUGACCUCUGCCCUCCUUGUACACCAGGAGCCAGAAAAACUUCAUCUCUUUUACAAGAAACAUUGAGAUUCCUGUAAAAUUAAGAAAUCACACAAUUUGAUGGUCUACAUUAUCUAAAGCAAAUGAGACUUCUAUUUGGAACAAAGACUACCUUGUUGGGAAAUGAGUCUGCAAGUUAAAGUGUUUUCUGAAAGAUGGUAUCUGUAUCAUCUAGACUGUGUUUGCCCUGAGGAGAAACUAAGACAGACAUGCCCAAAGGCUGAACUCAAUAUCUUUGUAGAAAUUAUUAAAAGCAAUAUCACCUUUAGCCUUGUCAAGAACCUCUAACAAGACCUUUUCAGACCAAAGUGCCCUCAAUAUCAGAGCAUGUAGUCACCCACCCCAGGUUGACCCCGGAAGUAUGAGAGAGCUAAGGUGGGAGCCAGAGGCUGAGAGAAGAAAGGGGGUGACCUAGUUCAUGCCAAAUGAAUCUCACAAGCAAGACUAGAUUGUAAAAUCAGCAAAGUCGCUCACAGCUGCAUUAUGUCCUCCCUGAGCUCUGGGCACUUUUGCCUUUGUGACCUCCUUCCUCCAACAAUUAACAUUAAAAAUUGUAUUUUAUUAUAAAGACAAACAUAA
This 816-nucleotide long non-coding RNA is filed under the name Homo sapiens (human). RNAcentral's name for it is "HIF1A stabilizing long noncoding RNA". The record is from RNAcentral. Lineage: Eukaryota; Metazoa; Chordata; Mammalia; Primates; Hominidae.